CCUUCUUUAGCGCCUCCUUCUCCUCUGGUGCCAGCACCACUCGGGGCUUCUUGAUUUGCAGGAGGCUCAGGUCCUGGGGCUGCAGGCAGGGGCUGGGGCACUCAGAGCGGGCGGCUGGAGACUCACUGUCAGAGCCGGUGCUGAUGAGACCGUACCUGCGCUUCAGCAGCCCAGGCCAGCUGCUCCCAGAGUGUCCUGGAUGCCACCCAGCACCUGCAGGCUGGACCCCAGCGCCCUGGCAUCUCACUGUGGGCACUUGCUUCAAGGCAAGCAGGAGCCAAGCAGGAUAGGAGGCAA
This is a non-coding RNA of Manis javanica (Malayan pangolin), 297 nucleotides long. Lineage: Eukaryota; Metazoa; Chordata; Mammalia; Pholidota; Manidae. The record is from RefSeq and is a predicted model, not a curated record.